CACAGUGGAAAAUCGGGCAGUGAAGGAGUGGACGGCUGGGAAAGAAAAAACUAAGGAAAAAGGGUGGAAAAGAGAGAGAAAAGAAGGAAAAAGAAAAGGAAAGGGAAGAAGAAUGAAGAAAUCUUAUGCCAACUACUUCAAGUUUGUUUCUUUAGUUCUUCAAAAGAUUGAAGGAAGGAGCAUGAUUCCAAGCCAAUCUUUUUAUUUGUGAAAGAUUUUUUGUGCCAACGUGGUAACAAGGAGGUGAAAAUGUUUAUCAGGAAACCACUGAAUUUGAGAUAUCUGGGAAAGCCUGCUGAAGUCAAGAGCCUAGUUACCCGUCAUUUAGUGCAUGAUCUUAACCGUGUCAUAGUAUGUAGUGUAUGGUGGGGGACUCAUGUUUAUUGAGCACUUUGCCUAAUAUUUUGUUUGAUUUAUACUUCGUAGAAAGGUUUAUAAUUCAUAUAAUGCUUACAUGUAGACAUGAUAUUUUGUAGUAGAAGUACUCAGUCGAGUUUAAUUGUAUUUUAUUUUAGUUGUGGCGGUAUUGGUAGAACUGGUGGUUCCCAAAUUUUUUGAUUUAAUUGUUUAUAUGAGGUUUUGUUGAUUUUCA
Molecule: long non-coding RNA, 592 nt
Organism: Olea europaea var. sylvestris
Lineage: Eukaryota; Viridiplantae; Streptophyta; Magnoliopsida; Lamiales; Oleaceae
Exons: 4
Source: RefSeq, a predicted model, not a curated record